Non-coding RNA from Periconia macrospinosa, 141 nucleotides. NCBI's taxonomy places the organism in Eukaryota, Fungi, Ascomycota, Dothideomycetes, Pleosporales, Periconiaceae. The record is from the annotation of a GenBank genome assembly.
GGUUCGGUGGUGUAGUUGGUUAUCACGUACGUUUCCUCACUCCUCAACAGUUUCUAUCAAACUUUACUAACAGCAAGUCCAGGUCAGUCUAACAUCUCGUUGGAACACUGAAGGUCCCGAGUUCAAACCUCGGCUGAAUCA